Molecule: non-coding RNA, 753 nt
Filed under: Cyclommatus strigiceps vitalisi
Lineage: Eukaryota; Metazoa; Arthropoda; Insecta; Coleoptera; Lucanidae
Source: RNAcentral
UAAAAGUUUUAUUUUAGCUUUUAAAGGUUUAAUUUGAAUAGAUUUUACAUGCAAAGUUUUAUAAAUAAUUUUUUAGCAGUAUUUAGAUUUAUAAAUUAAGUAAUUUUAGAUAUAGGCAUUUUUAAUAACAUUAACAAAUUUUGUGCCAGCAGUUGCGGUUACACAAAUGAUGUAAUUAAACUUAUAUUGAUAAGUAAUAAUCUUAAUUUAAUUUGAGAAAUUAAUUUAGAAUUUUUAGGUGGAAUUUAAAUUUUAAAGGGAUUUGGGUAAGAAAAGAUAAUUUAUUAAAUUUUUUAUUAAACUAGGAUUAGAUACCCUAUUAUAAGAAAUGUAAAUAUUUGAUAUCAGAUUAGUAAAAGGAAGUUCUUGAAAUUUAAAAGAUUUGGCGGUGUUUUAGUCUGGUCAGAGGAACCUGCCCUGUAAUUGAUAAUCCACGAUUAGUUGAACUUUUAUUUUAAGUUUGUAUAUCGUCGUUAUUUGAAUAUCUUGAAAGGGCUUUAAUAAUCAAGAAUCAUAAUUUUGUUUUAGGUCAGAUCAAGGUGCAGCUUAUAUAAAAGGAGAGGUGGGUUACAUUAAAUGUAUUUUUAGUUUUUUUAUUUAAAUAUAAAAAAUAAAUUGGAUUUGUAAGUAAAUUAAAUAAUUUAAUUUGGUUGAUAAAAGCUCUAGAAUAUGCACAUAUCGCCCGUCGCUCCUUUUAUAAUGAAGGAUAAGUCGUAACAAAGUAGAUGUAUCGGAAGAUGUAUCUGGAAAGAC